RNAcentral lists this transfer RNA (72 nucleotides) under Heterocephalus glaber (naked mole-rat). It matches the Rfam family "tRNA". From Rfam's summary of the family: Transfer RNA (tRNA) molecules are approximately 80 nucleotides in length. Their secondary structure includes four short double-helical elements and three loops (D, anti-codon, and T loops). Lineage: Eukaryota; Metazoa; Chordata; Mammalia; Rodentia; Bathyergidae. The record is from Rfam by way of RNAcentral.
GGGGGAAUAGCUCAAUGGUAGAGCAUUUGGCUAUCAAGCAUGAUGCUCUAGCUUCUAUUCCUAGCACCACCA